CCUUUGAUCAAAGCAAAAUGAAUAUUAGAAAGAGUUUCUAAUAUUUCAUUGUUUGAAUUAUCAUAUAAAAGAUUGAGAGAGACAUGAAUAAGUGAUUGAGUUUGAUAUUGAUCCAUACUCAUGCACUUAUUCAGGAUGUAGUAUGACUGAGGGAUUGAAUUGCACAGUAACUUUCCACUGAAGGGUAUGUUUGGAUUUGUCCAAUACAUUCCUCAUCUUCCGGGUAGACAUGAUACGUUGCUAGACAUCAAUCAUAUCUUGUGGGUUGAUCGGAUCAAAGAGUUUGAUUAGAUCAAAGCAUCAGAAAGGUUCUGAUUGCUAAGUUAGGUUUAGCACUAAAUUGAACCUAAAUUGGAUUAGAGGUAUUCUAAUCAGGUUAGGUCAACUUGCACCUGCACCUACUGCUGGCUAAGAUAAGGAACCCAAUGGGUCACACACAA
This 440-nucleotide long non-coding RNA is filed under the name Phoenix dactylifera (date palm). Its description in RNAcentral is "long non-coding RNA (PDAC_LNC012589)". Lineage: Eukaryota; Viridiplantae; Streptophyta; Magnoliopsida; Arecales; Arecaceae. The record is from RNAcentral.